Molecule: non-coding RNA, 84 nt
Organism: Fusarium oligoseptatum
Lineage: Eukaryota; Fungi; Ascomycota; Sordariomycetes; Hypocreales; Nectriaceae
Source: the annotation of a GenBank genome assembly
GCCCCGUUGGCUCAGUGGUAAAGCGUGUCACUAGUAAAUAGGCACGACGUGAUAAGAUCACUGGUUUGACUUCAGUGCGGAGCA